Molecule: ribosomal RNA, 587 nt
Filed under: uncultured bacterium
Lineage: Bacteria
Description: bacterial SSU rRNA
Rfam family: Bacterial small subunit ribosomal RNA
Source: RNAcentral
GAUGAACGCUGGCGGCGUGCUUAACACAUGCAAGUCGAACGUGAAGCCUAGUACCUAGUAUUGGGUGGAAAGUGGCGAACGGGUGAGUAACACGUUGGUGACCUGUCCCGAGGAGGGGAAUAACCGUGGGAAACCACGGCUAAUGCCCCGGAUGUCUGGGUUGUUAGAGAGCCCAGGCCAAAGCUCCGGCGCCUUGGGAGGGGCCUGCGGGCUAUCAGCUUGUUGGUGGGGUAACGGCCUACCAAGGCUAAGACGGCUAGGGGGCGUGAGAGCGCGACCCCCCACAAUGGAACUGAGACACGGUCCAUACUCCUACGGGAGGCAGCAGUGAGGAAUAUUGCGCAAUGGGGGCAACCCUGACGCAGCAACGCCGCGUGGACGAUGAAGGCCUUCGGGUUGUAAAGUCCCUUUUUGGGGGACGAUAAUGACGGUACUCCAAGAAUAAGUCCCGGCUAACUACGUGCCAGCAGCCGCGGUAAAACGUAGGGGGCGAGCGUUAUCCGGAUUUACUGGGCGUAAAGCGCACGUAGGCGGUGCCGUAUGUAGGACGUCAAAGCUCUCGGCUUAAUCUGGGAGAGGUCGUUCAA